This 377-nucleotide unclassified non-coding RNA is filed under the name uncultured Bacillota bacterium. RNAcentral's name for it is "uncultured Firmicutes bacterium contains 16S-23S intergenic spacer region". Lineage: Bacteria; Bacillati; Bacillota. The record is from RNAcentral.
UCCAACUUAUCGCUGGCGGUCUCCUUAGAGUGCCCAACUGAAUGCUGGCAACUAAGGACAAGGGUUGCGCUCGUUGCGGGACUUAACCCAACAUCUCACGACACGAGCUGACGACAACCAUGCACCACCUGUCACUCUGUCCCCCGAAGGGGAAAGUCCUAUCUCUAGGAGUGUCAGAGGAUGUCAAGACCUGGUAAGGUUCUUCGCGUUGCUUCGAAUUAAACCACAUGCUCCACCGCUUGUGCGGGUCCCCGUCAAUUCCUUUGAGUUUUAAUCUUGCGACCGUACUCCCCAGGCGGGAUGCUUAAUGCGUUAGCUGCGCCACUGAAGAGCAAGCUCCCCAACGGCUAGCAUCCAUCGUUUACAGCGUGGACUAC